GACCUCGAAUCAGGUAGGAAUACCCGCUGAACUUAAGCAUAUCAAUAAGCGGAGGAAAAGAAACCAACAGGGAUUGCCCCAGUAACGGCGAGUGAAGCGGCAACAGCUCAAAUUUGAAAUCUGGCUCUCGGGCCCGAGUUGUAAUUUGUAGAGGAUGCUUUUGGUGAGGUGCCUUCCGAGUUCCCUGGAACGGGACGCCAUAGAGGGUGAGAGCCCCGUCUGGUUGGACGCCGAUCCUCUGUAAAGCUCCUUCGACGAGUCGAGUAGUUUGGGAAUGCUGCUCUAAAUGGGAGGUAUAUGUCUUCUAAAGCUAAAUACCGGCCAGAGACCGAUAGCGCACAAGUAGAGUGAUCGAAAGAUGAAAAGAACUUUGAAAAGAGAGUUAAACAGUACGUGAAAUUGUUGAAAGGGAAGCGCUUGUGACCAGACUUGGGCUUGGUUGAUCAUCCGGGGUUCUCCCCGGUGCACUCUUCCGGCCCAGGCCAGCAUCAGUUCGCCCUGGGGGACAAAGGCUUCGGGAACGUGGCUCUCUCCGGGGAGUGUUAUAGCCCGUUGCGUAAUACCCUGUGGCGGACUGAGGUUCGCGCAU
RNAcentral lists this ribosomal RNA (589 nucleotides) under Fusarium sp. VSMU-T318. RNAcentral describes it as "eukaryotic LSU rRNA". It matches the Rfam family "Eukaryotic large subunit ribosomal RNA", at positions 1 to 602 of the family's 3401-position model. The record is from RNAcentral. Lineage: Eukaryota; Fungi; Ascomycota; Sordariomycetes; Hypocreales; Nectriaceae.